This 789-nucleotide long non-coding RNA is filed under the name Capsicum annuum. RNAcentral describes it as "long non-coding RNA (CANN_LNC021800)". Lineage: Eukaryota; Viridiplantae; Streptophyta; Magnoliopsida; Solanales; Solanaceae. The record is from RNAcentral.
CCUAAAAUAGGACUUUAUUAAGAAAAUACUCCUAUAAAUAUUGAGAUGCACGUUAAACUAGAGAAAAAAAUAAUUUAUUUAUUGGGAUGAUUGAUGUUCAUCUAACUUGAUUCGGUUGCAUGUCUAGAUUGGUGAAUGCUUAGUUUUCUAACUCUCUAACUUCUUCACUAUUUUUGUCACAAUAAUAGAAUUCAAUGUGUGUGUAUAUAUAUAUCUUCUUUGUUUUCAUUCAAGCCAAUUUUUAGUGUCAAAAUUUUCACUCAGACAAGAAUUAUUUUCUUCAAAACUGAAGCUUUGUAAUCACUAUUCUAUUAUUUUGUUGUAAUUUACAGGUCGUAGAUGAAUUUACAGGUGGUAGAUAAAUGUCGGUCGGCUUUGAUAAAUUUUUUCGGUAAAGGUUAGAUUUAUUUGUAUUGCUUUUAUAUCUCUGUUUUGAGGAUUUUUUUUUUAUGUAAAGGUAAAGUUUAGUUGUAUUACUUUGAUUUCUCUAUUGAGUAUUAUUUUGUUAUAAUUUACAGGUGGUAGAUGAGUGUACGACGGCUUUGAGGAAAUUUUUAUGUAAAAGUUAGACCCUGGGUACAGAGAAAACUCUGUUGGGCUGCCACUUUAAUGGGCCCUGCAACGUGCGAUCCGGAUUAGUUGGGGGCUUCAAUGCGGGCACGGAACACCAGAUGGGAACCAAAAAAAAAUUAUAUUGUUUUGAUGUAUCUAUCAUCGCAUUGUUUUGUUGUAGUUUACAGAUGGUAGAUGAAUGUCGACCGUCUUUGAGAAAUUUUUUUGGUAAAGGUU